GGCCAUGUGGCCCAAUGGCAAGGCGCUUGACUACGAUUCAUUCGAGAUCGCGGCAUCAAGAGAUUCCAGGUUCGACCCCUGGCAUGGUCA
Molecule: transfer RNA, 90 nt
Filed under: Ramalina farinacea
Lineage: Eukaryota; Fungi; Ascomycota; Lecanoromycetes; Lecanorales; Ramalinaceae
Rfam family: tRNA
About the family: Transfer RNA (tRNA) molecules are approximately 80 nucleotides in length.
Source: Rfam by way of RNAcentral